GGUAGUCGAGGGCGAUAGCCACCUGGUGGACGCAGCGCUUGGCCACCAUCUCAGGGAGUCCCACCUGGACAGAAGGAGAAAUAAAUACAGUCACGUCGGAAAAGCAAAGUCAUGGCACUGUUUCUGUGUUGACUUCUAACAUGGUGCUGACCUCCAACCAGCUUUUGACAACUAUAUUGUCACUGUGCAGCAGCAAUGAUCGUACAGCUGCAGAUCAAGUUUGGAUGUCAGUUCAACCCCUCCACCAGUUUGUCUUCAUUGUGCUGACCCAAGUGACCCGCUGAACUCCACACCCAGCAAGUGGAAACAGAAGAGCCACUUGAUUCCACCAGCAGUGAUGUCCAGUGUCUGUUCGCCAUCAGUAAAGUGUGUGACUGAGCUCUCACCUGUGGAGGGAUUAUGUCAAACAGAUCUCCUGCCAGCGCGUACUCCUGAGCGAAGAUGUAGUAGUCGUCGGUUUCGAAGGCGAUGCCGUACAUGUUGAUGAUGAAGGGGCAUGGCGACAGGUACAGAGAGAUGCUGUACUCUCUUAGGAAGCUCUUCAGCUUGGUGGUCUUCUUCCUCAGAAACUUCAAAGCCAUCUUUGUGCCUGAAAACGAGGACGUGAUGGGUUACAUAACUUCCAAUCUCGCUCCUCACUUCUUGUUCUUUUCCAGCCUAUUAAAGUGUUUGGGGAUUUA
Long non-coding RNA from Acanthochromis polyacanthus (spiny chromis), 680 nucleotides. RefSeq lists it as uncharacterized. NCBI's taxonomy places the organism in Eukaryota, Metazoa, Chordata, Actinopteri, Pomacentridae. The record is from RefSeq and is a predicted model, not a curated record. The transcript is spliced from 5 exons.